RNAcentral lists this ribosomal RNA (254 nucleotides) under uncultured bacterium. RNAcentral's name for it is "partial 16S ribosomal RNA". It matches the Rfam family "Bacterial small subunit ribosomal RNA", at positions 524 to 776 of the family's 1533-position model. The record is from RNAcentral.
UACGUAGGGGGCAAGCGUUGUCCGGAAUCAUUGGGCGUAAAGCGCGUGUAGGCGGCCAGAAAAGUCCGCUGUGAAAACUCGAGGCUCAACUUCGAGCUGUCGGUGGAAACUUUCUGGCUAGAGUCCGGAAGAGGAGAAUGGAAUUCCUGGUGUAGCGGUGAAAUGCGCAGAUAUCAGGAAGAACACCCGUGGCGAAGGCGGUUCUCUGGGCCUUACCUGACGCUGAGGAGCGAAAGCUAGGGGGAGCAAACGGG